RNAcentral lists this ribosomal RNA (419 nucleotides) under uncultured bacterium. RNAcentral's name for it is "bacterial SSU rRNA". It matches the Rfam family "Bacterial small subunit ribosomal RNA", at positions 341 to 752 of the family's 1533-position model. The record is from RNAcentral.
ACGGGAGGCAGCAGUGGGGAAUAUUGGACAAUGGGGGCAACCCUGAUCCAGCCAUGCCGCGUGUGUGAAGAAGGCCUUAGGGUUGUAAAGCACUUUCAGUGGGGAGAAAGGUGGUUUGGUUAAUAGCCGGAUCAAUUGAUGUUACCCACAGAAGAAGCACCGGCUAACUCCGUGCCAGCAGCCGCGGUAAUACGGAGGGUGCAAGCGUUAAUCGGAAUUACUGGGCGUAAAGCGCACGUAGGCGGUUUGUUAAGCCAGCUGUGAAAUCCCCGGGCUCAACCUGGGCACUGCAGUUGGAACUGGCAAGCUAGAGUAUGGUAGAGGGGUGUGGAAUUUCAGGUGUAGCGGCGAAAUGCGUAGAUAUCUGAAGGAACCUCAGUGGCUUAUGCGACACCCUGUAUCAAUACUGCCGCUGAUGU